Non-coding RNA from Trichonephila clavipes, 73 nucleotides. Lineage: Eukaryota; Metazoa; Arthropoda; Arachnida; Araneae; Nephilidae. The record is from the annotation of a GenBank genome assembly.
GGUAGCGUGGCCGAGCGGUCUAAGGCGCUGGUUAAAGGUUCCGGAGGCGUGGAUUCGAAUCGCACCGCUGCCA